AGAACGAACGCUGGCGGCGUGCUUAACACAUGCAAGUCGAACGCGAAAGGGAACUCGGUCCUGAGUAAAGUGGCGCACGGGUGAGUAACGCGUAGAUAACCUGUCUUCAUGUCUGGAAUAAUACGCCGAAAGGGGUACUAAUACCGGAUAUUCUUGCUUUUCAUAAGUUAUGCAAGCAAAGGUGGCCUCUGCAUAUGCUACUGCAUGAAGAGGGGUCUGCGUACCAUUAGCUAGUAGGUGGGGUAAUGGCCUACCUAGGCGACGAUGGUUAGCGGGUCUGAGAGGAUGAUCCGCCACACUGGCACUGGAACACGGGCCAGACUCCUACGGGAGGCAGCAGUGAGGAAUAUUGCGCAAUGGGGGAAACCCUGACGCAGCGACGCCGCGUGAGUGAAGGAAGGCCUUCGGGUCGUAAAGCUCUGUCAAGAGGAAAGAAGUGUACAAUGGCUAAUACCUGUUGUAUUUGACGGUACCUCUAAAGGAAGCACCGGCUAACUCCGUGCCAGCAGCGGC
Molecule: ribosomal RNA, 513 nt
Filed under: uncultured bacterium
Lineage: Bacteria
Description: bacterial SSU rRNA
Rfam family: Bacterial small subunit ribosomal RNA
Source: RNAcentral